Molecule: long non-coding RNA, 1194 nt
Filed under: Carassius auratus (goldfish)
Lineage: Eukaryota; Metazoa; Chordata; Actinopteri; Cypriniformes; Cyprinidae
Description: lncRNA (ENSCARG00000050536.1)
Source: RNAcentral
UAUAAACUUUAUUUGUGACCAUGUUAACAGUAUAACACAGCUGUUUCAUUUUCCAUUCCAAGCCCACUUUCUACUUCCUGUCACUCUCCAUUUCUCUGUCUUUCCGCUUGGUUUGCUCUCAUCCACAACCCUAUUUGCAGGUGGACCAUUGUGAUCUGUCUAAAUAUUACCUCUCCCUCGUCCCCUGCGCUCCACAGCCCCUGGAGCUCCCAUCCGUCAGGAGGCAGGAACGGCUCUCCCAUGCAGAAGGCCUCGGUCUGUGGCUGAAAUAUUGAUCACACCGGCUCAUGGAAGAGCUGCCACCCAAAGCCCGUUGUGACAAAGACAGAGGCGUCGACGGGGAAUCCAAACAAGUGGCCAUCUCACUCUCCACCAUCUGCGCUCUGAAGACAGCUUUGCAGCGGCCACAAGCAUUCUUCAAACGCUCUUUGGAGGCCGGUUUGGAAAGUUUGUGAUGGUGAUAUCUCUCUGUUUAAAACUCUAAAGACUAAACUUUGAAGCUGAAACUUUUUUGGAAAGGUUUUUAGAAGUUUGAUAUCUUGUUUUUUUUUUUUUUUUUUGUGAACUAAAAGCAAAGUAUUCUAUUCAUGCUCGCUUCUUACUUUAGCGUUGACUUUCUCCAGUACUCAAGAGGGCGCAAGAGUUGCCUUAAAACUAGGCCUGCUAUUCACGGUCAUGUACUUGCAUAGAACAUGUUUCACCAUUUUAUGUGAACGUGAAUAUUCCAUAGAAGUAUUUGAACACUUAAGUCACACUUAAAAAAUCUCUGAGUAUCUCAUUGUGUUAUUUUAGAAUUGUUAUAUGCAGUUGAAGUUUUAAAUAAUAAUUUGGAUUAGCUUUUGUUCAUACGUGUUUUUGUGUGUGUGUGUGUGUGUGUGUGUGUGUGUGUGUGUGUGUGUGUGUGCGUAAUAUUAGUUUUAGUUUUCAUAUUUCUAUUUAGCUUUAAUUUAUUUUUAUUUUUGUACUUAGGCUUACUUCAAUUAGUUUGCCGAGGCAACAGUUCUAAUUUUCAUUUAAAGGGGGGGUGAAAUGCUAUUUCAUGCAUACUGAGUUUUUUACACUGUUAAAGAGUUGGAUUCCCAUGCUAAACAUGGACAAAGUUUCAAAAAUUAAGUUGUACGUUUGAAAGAGUAUUUUUGUUCCAAAAAAUACUCCUUCCGGUUUGUCACAAGUUUCGGAAAGUUUUUUUCGAGU